Molecule: non-coding RNA, 73 nt
Organism: Xenopus laevis (African clawed frog)
Lineage: Eukaryota; Metazoa; Chordata; Amphibia; Anura; Pipidae
Source: Rfam
GACUGCGUGGCCUAAUAGAUAAGGCGUCUGACUUUGGAUCAGAAGAUUAAGGGCUUGAGUCCUUUUGUGGUUG